Molecule: non-coding RNA, 646 nt
Organism: Meleagris gallopavo (turkey)
Lineage: Eukaryota; Metazoa; Chordata; Aves; Galliformes; Phasianidae
Source: RefSeq, a predicted model, not a curated record
UUGAUUUUUUUUUUUGUUGUUGUUGUUGUUAAAACAACAAAACGUUCUACACAGCCAUCUGUAACCCUGAGAUUCCAGCAUCCCUAACGCCUCGCAGCACAGCCGCUGCCGGCACCAACAGUCACACAGAGAGCCCCGCGGACCGGACUGGCGCCGACGCCAGGGUGCCUCCGACAGGCAUCCAACGUAAGACAAACUGCAGAAGUUCGAAUCCACCAAAGGAAUGAACCGAAGGAAAGCGGCGCAGUUCUAAGGAUUUACGUUGCUUCGAACAAACUUCGACUGAAGGCUGCGUAACACAGAAAGCAGCGUGAAGAUGCAGCCACGGCCGGCUCCGAGGGCAGCGCGGUGGUGCUGAGCGGUUGCGAGCACGGCACGCAGGCUCUGCGAACCAUGUGGAGGUGCAAUUUAUCGCCUGAGCAUCGGGACUGGGGACACAGCUUUGGAGGAAGUGUAUGAUGCUCUUUUGUGGCAGCUUCAAUAAGGGGCUUAAAUGGCUCUGUAAUGGACUAUUCCAUACAGCUCAAACAGGCAUUCCUCCCUUGUUUGUAGGCAGAGCUGUGCUACCUGUGUGUUCCAACUACUUGUAAUAGAGAACAGCUGUGCUCUUAAAAGCAAUCCUAAUGAACCAUUGUCUGAACUCUUA